Long non-coding RNA from Perognathus longimembris pacificus (Pacific pocket mouse), 431 nucleotides. RefSeq lists it as uncharacterized. The transcript is spliced from 3 exons. NCBI's taxonomy places the organism in Eukaryota, Metazoa, Chordata, Mammalia, Rodentia, Heteromyidae. The record is from RefSeq and is a predicted model, not a curated record.
GAGCGCAUCUGCCCCAGGUAGACGACCUUUGUGCUGCCCGCCGGAUCUGGGGAGAAGUUGGCGUGUGUAGAGGAUGAAGCCUGAGCCGAUGAUACCUGAGCGGGAGAGACUGAUUUCAGCCAGCCAAGAGGCCAGUUGGGACUGAGGAUAUGAUUCCUACUCUAGGGAGGACACAGCAACAAGGUUCCAUCUUACCAGAGAGCAGCCCUCACUAGGCUGAUGGACCUGCUGAUGUCUUGGCCUUGGACUUCCUACCUCCCAGAACUGUGAGAAAUAAAAUUCUAUUGUUUAUAACUUACCUAUUCCUUGUUACUUUGUGAUAAUUGUACAAAUAGACUAAGAUUGGUGCUGAGAGAUACAAUAAGUACAACAGGCACUCUGAAUAUAACUGUUUUGGGGUUCAAGGGAGGGGAUUCCCCAUCCCUCCAAUA